AUACUCUAAUAGUUUAUAAAAAACGUU
This 27-nucleotide transfer RNA is filed under the name Asarcornis scutulata. RNAcentral describes it as "partial tRNA-Thr". The record is from RNAcentral. Lineage: Eukaryota; Metazoa; Chordata; Aves; Anseriformes; Anatidae.